CGCACCUUCUUAUGAAGAAUGCCUUCGAUAAGGCCAAGUAUGCCAACUCCGUGGCGGAUGCAA
This 63-nucleotide transfer RNA is filed under the name Boodlea composita. RNAcentral's name for it is "tRNA-Ile". Lineage: Eukaryota; Viridiplantae; Chlorophyta; Ulvophyceae; Cladophorales; Boodleaceae. The record is from RNAcentral.